AACUCUGAGAACCUGGUGGAGCUCUUAGAGUUAAAACCCGCAAAAGGUGAGAACCUCCCAUUGACUGUCCCCUACCCCAGAUAUUUUAACUCCCAGGCUUGUCCAUGCUGAGCCUCCAGCAACUCAUCAAUGCAGGUCAGGUUCCUAUACCCAGCACUGGUGCCCACGGUGGUUUCUGCCAGUGGAUUUCUGCUUAGGUAAGUUGUGAUUCCCUGUGUCUGCCUCUCUGUCUCUCAAAUUUUGGGAGCAGCUGUUUACUCUGUGACUUACUUCUCUAAGAAGAGUUGUUGAUUGUUCAGUUUGUUCAGAUUUUUACUGUUGUUAGGACAAAGUAACAAAUUCCAAGCUCUUUACAUGCCAGACCAGAAGCCAGACGUCUCAAUUUUAUUUCUUAGAUGCAUAACAUAUUUUUGACUGACGAGGAGUGCUAGAGGCAGAGGAGGGACCUGUAUUCAUCAGGAAGAACUCUCUGAGGCCCUGGACUCGAGCAGUAUGAUUUGGGCCUAGUAGCAAUGUGCACGAGGGAAGCAGGAACCCUCUCCUCACUGAUGUAUGGACCACUUGGGCCCUUCCAGGGUUCACAAUUUUGAAAGCCUCAGGAUAAAACACCUUUGUCUCAGACUUGGACAUGAGCUCUUCCAUGAAGAAACCCAGCAGCAGAGGAAGUGGCAAAAUUACUCAGGAACCUGAAGAUUGGAAAAAACUUGAGUUCUUACUCAGGAGAGCUCAGCCUUCUGCAAGCAAAGGUGGUCACGGGACCUUAGUCUGGACACAGGAAGCACAAGGAAUACACUGGGUUCUCAACUCCCCUCCCUACUAUCUUCUGUACCUUCUCCUCAGGCCUUCGUUUUGCUGAAGCAGGUGCCAGGGCCACGGGACAACUGGUAAAGUUGAUGUGGAUUGAUGUUUACGCAUAUUAGGAAAGGGAAGAAGAAUUAUCCCCAAAAUAAUCUUCUCCCACUCCUUUCUACCUCAAGCACUAACUGUUAUUAAACAACACUAGAUCCUAGAAAGAUGCUGUAGAAAUUAAAACAUUGUUCUUCCUUUUGUCUGUUGUCUUUAAUAACUAUGGUAUUUGAAAACUUACUAUAGUCAAUGUCUUUUUAAUUAUACAACACCCUGAAAACAUAUCUUUCCUGACAAGAUCAUACAAAUCUUGUGUGCAUUUACAUAUAUACACAUUUAUUUCUAUUUAUAUGUGUAUAUGGACAUGCGGGUGUGCAAGUAUAUAUG
Molecule: long non-coding RNA, 1233 nt
Filed under: Macaca mulatta (Rhesus monkey)
Lineage: Eukaryota; Metazoa; Chordata; Mammalia; Primates; Cercopithecidae
Description: lncRNA (ENSMMUG00000058164.1)
Source: RNAcentral